UACGUAGGGGGCAAGCGUUGUCCGGAUUUAUUGGGCGUAAAGAGCGUGUAGGCGGCCAUGCAGGUCCGUUGUGAAAACUCGAGGCUCAACCUCGAGACGCCGAUGGAAACCGCAUGGCUAGAGUCCGGAAGAGGAGAGUGGAAUUCCUGGUGUAGCGGUGAAAUGCGCAGAUAUCAGGAAGAACACCCGUGGCUAAGGCGGCUCUCUAGUACGGUACUGACGCUGAGGAGCGAAAGCCAGGGGAGCAAACGGG
Molecule: ribosomal RNA, 253 nt
Filed under: uncultured bacterium
Lineage: Bacteria
Description: partial 16S ribosomal RNA
Rfam family: Bacterial small subunit ribosomal RNA
Source: RNAcentral